GACGAACGCUGGCGGCGUGCUUAACACAUGCAAGUCGAACGGAAAGGCCCUGCUUUUGUGGGGUGCUCGAGUGGCGAACGGGUGAGUAACACGUGAGUAACCUGCCCUUGACUUUGGGAUAACUUCAGGAAACUGGGGCUAAUACCGGAUAGGAGCUCCUGCUGCAUGGUGGGGGUUGGAAAGUUUCGGCGGUUGGGGAUGGACUCGCGGCUUAUCAGCUUGUUGGUGGGGUAGUGGCUUACCAAGGCUUUGACGGGUAGCCGGCCUGAGAGGGUGACCGGCCACAUUGGGACUGAGAUACGGCCCAGACUCCUACGGGAGGCGGCAGUGGGGAAUAUUGCACAAUGGGCGGAAGCCUAAUGCAGCAACGCCGCGUGCGGGAUGACGGCCUUCGGGUUGUAAACCGCUUCCGCCUGUGACGAAGCGUGAGUGACGGUAAUGGGUAAAGAAGCACCGGCUAACUACGUG
RNAcentral lists this ribosomal RNA (468 nucleotides) under uncultured bacterium. Its description in RNAcentral is "partial 16S ribosomal RNA". It matches the Rfam family "Bacterial small subunit ribosomal RNA", at positions 28 to 507 of the family's 1533-position model. The record is from RNAcentral.